RNAcentral lists this small RNA (90 nucleotides) under Sinorhizobium meliloti 2011. Its description in RNAcentral is "putative ncRNA". Lineage: Bacteria; Pseudomonadati; Pseudomonadota; Alphaproteobacteria; Hyphomicrobiales; Rhizobiaceae. The record is from RNAcentral.
AUCGUUUGCGGGUCUUCCUACCCGCCCUAUUCGGCCUUGCCGGCGCAUUUAUCGGUCGCCCGGAUGAGCCGGUCGAGAAUGCCCGGCUCC